UUUGCAAAUUUACUCUAGAAAACGCCAGAAAUUCAGUCCUAGAGCUUCAAAAAUGUAAACAUUUUCUGGGGGAGGACCCACAGACCCCCCUAUGAGACUGCCAAUCAAUCACAAAAAGCUUUAUUAUAAUUAUUAGACUUCAGGAAAUUUUUAACAUUGAAAAUCAAAUUUCACGUAAAAUCCUCCGACAUCCCCUCCCCAAACGUCAGAUGCUUCGCUACGUCCCUGAUGGUUGUAUAUCGAAACCGAUUUCAGUUUUAAGACAUCAUUAGUCUGCUCUUCUAAAUGGAUACAUGAAAUCACCUAUGGCUUGUUUUAAAUUUUUUGGCGCCAGGCUUGUGAAGUAAUUUACCCGCCAAAAAGUAGCAUAUCCAAAAACAAGAAAAGCAUAUGAUUUGUAAGAAUGAUAUGUUCUAUGCUCAUGGGAUA
Molecule: non-coding RNA, 429 nt
Organism: Paramuricea clavata
Lineage: Eukaryota; Metazoa; Cnidaria; Anthozoa; Malacalcyonacea; Plexauridae
Source: the annotation of a GenBank genome assembly